Saccostrea cuccullata (small rock oyster) is the source of this 2813-nucleotide long non-coding RNA. RefSeq lists it as uncharacterized. The record is from RefSeq and is a predicted model, not a curated record. NCBI's taxonomy places the organism in Eukaryota, Metazoa, Mollusca, Bivalvia, Ostreida, Ostreidae. The transcript is spliced from 5 exons.
GUAAACUAUCUAGUCAGCGAGCUUACCUAUGCAUUGUGACGUCAUAAACUUGGCAGCGACGUCAUGUUAGUCCUUCACAAGCCGCGAUGGCUGCUUAUUUUGACACAAUAACACAGACUUUCACAGCGCUUGAGACUUCAUGUAAUAACAGUAUGGUCCUAUGGAUUUCAGUACCAAAACUGAUUUUCUACCGUUUUUCUUCCAAGAAAGUUCUGAACAGCUGAAUCCUGGAUCAGCCUAGAUGUUAUUUCACUGGAUUAUUUAAUGAAUAUUACUCUACUGAGUUACCUGGUUACAUGGAUCAGCUGAGAUGUUAUUUCACUGGAUUAUUUAAUUGGGCAUAUAAUUGGAUAAUUCUGUCCUCAACCUGGAAGAUAUGUUUUAUUCCUAACCAUCUAUAAUCCAUUCUCUAUGAAGUUCAGCCUGUCUGCCCAAAUUCCUUUGGAAAUACAUAGUUAGUCAACCAACAUAGAAACAAUCAAACUUGAAGUCAUCAACAUGGAAGAUAUGGUUUGUUCCUAACCAUCUAUAAUCAAUUCUCUAUGAAGUGAAGCCUGGCUGCUGGUCUUCCUUUGGAAAUACACAGUUAGUCAAUCAACAUAGAAACACACAAACUUGAAGGAUUCUCUAGUGAGGGCUUAUGGAAAUGAUCUAUGUCUACUCUUAGAAUGGUGAAAGACUAUCAGAUUAUGCAAAGACUAACAGAAUAUCCUCUCUUGGAACACUGAAACAAGAAAACCAAACUUAAGAGGAUGGAGGAUUUAAGAAGAACAUAGAUAAAUAUGAUUUCCAACGAAUUUAACCAGUACGAUCAUAGACUGUGGUUAACAGGAUGACAAAGAAAGGACCCAGGAUUGUAUCUUUCACUGUCAGACACUGACUAUGGAUAAAGUGUAAUCAUUUAUCAAACUGAGAUCUAGUCAAAUCAAGUAUUGAAAAUAUGAUUUUCUGAUAGCAUGAGCUCUUUAAAAACUAAUUCUCACGGACCUCAAAGUAUCUGAAUGUGACUUUUAUUUUUACCAAUUCAUAUUGAAGACUGUUGUUAUGUAUGGGAAUUACACAUUUAAACCUUUUAUUUUUCAUCUAAUUUUUACAACCCCCUAGAAAUUACACAGAUAUCCAGAUGCUGGAUUUAAUGUUAUUAUUUAACUUUCCUGGAAUUGUAAAUAUAUUUUGUUUGUGUAUGUAUCAUGUUUAAUUUUGAAUUUAAAAUUGGUCUCAAUAAGACCCCCAAUAAAGAUGCAAGAUUUAAUGUCCCAUAAUCUGUGGUUUAAUAAUAUCUUGAAUAUCUUUAUCAUACCAUAUUCAUCAUACUAAUUACAUAUAGAAUGGUUGUAGGAAUACACUUUGUUGUUUAGGACACUUUGUCAAGGUCAAAGCAUAAGAUUAUUGAGAUGACUUCUUUGACAAUAAUUUGUAACUUACAAACUUCACAUCAUAAGUACACAGAUGAAGAAUCAAUAAGAUAUUUCUAUAGAUUUUUUUUGGAUCAUUUACUCCUGGGUAAAAGUUAGUUACUGAGAUUACUGAUUUGAGUCCUGUAAUGCAGUAACUUUAACAUUUUGUGAUAACUUAUAGACUUUACAAAAAUUAGGUGCAAAUUCUUAGGAAAGGAAUGAAAUGUUAAUUAAAUGUACAAUGUUCAAGGGUGUUUAUAUGUCUAUUACUAUGUAAUACCUAGGGUUUCUGUAAAAAUCCUAUAUUCACUACAUAGAUAAAGACCUGUAUAAUAUAUAUUUUAAACUAUGAUGAAGGAAAAAAAAAAGGUCAAAAGCUCUCCCCUUCAUAUCUUUCAUAUUCUGUCAUACACAACAAUAGAUAAAUUGCAGUCAUAUAACAAACUGAGGUCUAAUCAAAUCCUAGAAUUGAUAUUGUGAUUUUCUGAUAGUAUGAGAUCUUCAAAAAAAAAAAUAAUUCCCAGACUUCAAAGUAUCUAAAUGUGACUUUUAUUUUUACCAAUUCAUAUUGAAGACAGUUGUUAUGUAUGAGAAGUAUACAUUUAAACCUUUUAUUUUUCAUCUUAUUUCUACAACCCCUAACAAAUUACACAGAUGUUUAAAAGCUAGCUUUGGUGUAAUUAUUACUUUCCUGGAACUGUAAAUACAUUUUGUUUGUGUAUGUGUGUGUGUGUGUGUCCUAUUUUGAAUUUAAUAGGUCUCAAUAGGACCCCCAUAAAGAUGUAAGUGUCCCCUGAUCUGUGAUGUAAUAAUAUCUUGAAUAUUUCUAUCAACCAUUAGACUUCAUGCUUACUACACAGAACAGGUUAGAGUAAUACACUUAGUUUUAUAGGACACUUUGUCAGGGUCAAAGCAUGAGAUUAUUGAGAUAACUACCUUUGACAAUAAUUUGUAACCUGCAAAAUUCACAUCAUAAGUAAAGAAAGAUUCGGAGAUUUUCUAUAGAUUUUUGGAUCAUUUUUCUCCUGGGUAAAAUUCAGUUGUUGUAACUUUAACAUUUUGUGAUAACCUAUAGACUUUAUAUCAGCUCUAUUGGGUGGCAUAGCAUAUUCUUUGGAAAGAAUUGAAAUGUAAAUCAUAUGCACUAUGUUCAAGGAUGUUUAAAGACUAUUACUAUGUAAUACCUUAGAAUUCUGUAAAAAUUUUAUUAUCACUGCGUAGAUAAAGACUGGUUGGAAUAAUUUAUGUUUUGAAAUAAGGUUUAGGGAAAAAAGUCAAGAAUGUGGAUAUGACUUUUAUUCAAAUGGUGCAGUACAGCAACUCUGGUGAUUUACAUACCUUCAGUCAUAAAUACAUGUAGAUAGGUAUUGGGAAGACUCCUCUAGAUUUUGAAAUUUUUAAUUCAAAAGUAUAGAA